RNAcentral lists this non-coding RNA (220 nucleotides) under Peptococcaceae bacterium. RNAcentral's name for it is "T-box sequence". It matches the Rfam family "T-box leader". From Rfam's summary of the family: Uncharged tRNA acts as the effector for transcription antitermination of genes in the T-box leader family. T-boxes are found upstream of many aminoacyl-tRNA synthetase genes and some amino acid biosynthetic genes usually in Gram-positive bacteria. The record is from RNAcentral. Lineage: Bacteria; Bacillati; Bacillota; Clostridia; Eubacteriales; Peptococcaceae.
GGAAAAGCAAUGAUUGGGAGUAGUAUCAGCAGCGCGCCAUCAGAGAGGGGAACACCUGGGUGCGAGUUUCCUUGGAGAGCGGGCUGAGAAGUCGCCCAGGAGCUGUUGAGGUGAGCGCAAGCAGCCUUAACCGGGAUGCGCCGUUACCGCAGUUGAGUGCCUGGCACGACACGUGCCAGGAAUUAAGGUGGUACCGCGAAAUGAGCUUUUCGUCCUUAGG